CUAUAAUAAACUUGCAGGAAGUUUUCCUUCUUGGAUUAGCCAGAAAAAUUUACAUCUGAAUUUGGUGGCAAAUAACUUUGUGAUUGAUGAUUCUAAUAGCAGUGACCUUCAGCAAAUAACAUCACUGGGAGGCUGUCAGAGUCACUAGGCAAUCUGAAAAACGUUACUUGUGAUAAUGAUGAUGAUGAUGAACACAAUGCCAAUUGUUGCUCUUGCUGCUUUUGAAGAAUAUAAUAAUGCUUCUGAUGUUAUUGGACGAUAUGAGAAUUGGUUGCUG
This is a long non-coding RNA of Dioscorea cayenensis subsp. rotundata (Guinea yam), 277 nucleotides long. RefSeq lists it as uncharacterized. The record is from RefSeq and is a predicted model, not a curated record. NCBI's taxonomy places the organism in Eukaryota, Viridiplantae, Streptophyta, Magnoliopsida, Dioscoreales, Dioscoreaceae. The transcript is spliced from 4 exons.